GUCUCUGUGGUGCAAUCGGUUAGCGCGUUCGGCUGUUAACCAUAAGGUUGGUGGUUAGAGACCACCCAGGGACG
Transfer RNA from Homo sapiens (human), 74 nucleotides. It matches the Rfam family "tRNA". From Rfam's summary of the family: Transfer RNA (tRNA) molecules are approximately 80 nucleotides in length. Their secondary structure includes four short double-helical elements and three loops (D, anti-codon, and T loops). Further hydrogen bonds mediate the characteristic L-shaped molecular structure. tRNAs have two regions of fundamental functional importance: the anti-codon, which is responsible for specific mRNA codon recognition, and the 3' end, to which the tRNAs corresponding amino acid is attached (by aminoacyl-tRNA synthetases). tRNAs cope with the degeneracy of the genetic code in two manners: having more than one tRNA (with a specific anti-codon) for a particular amino acid; and 'wobble' base-pairing, i.e. permitting non-standard base-pairing at the 3rd anti-codon position. The record is from Rfam. Lineage: Eukaryota; Metazoa; Chordata; Mammalia; Primates; Hominidae.